UUAAGCGACUAAGCGUACACGGUGGAUGCCUAGGCAGUCAGAGGCGAUGAAGGGCGUGCUAAUCUGCGAAAAGCGUCGGUAAGCUGAUAUGAAGCGUUAUAACCGACGAUACCCGAAUGGGGAAACCCAGUGCAAUACGUUGCACUAUCGUUAGAUGAAUACAUAGUCUAACGAGGCGAACCGGGGGAACUGAAACAUCUAAGUACCCCGAGGAAAAGAAAUCAACCGAGAUUCCCCCAGUAGCGGCGAGCGAACGGGGAGGAGCCCAGAGUCUGAAUCAGUUUGUGUGUUAGUGGAAGCGUCUGGAAAGUCGCACGGUACAGGGUGAUAGUCCCGUACACCAAAAUGCACAGGCUGUGAACUCGAUGAGUAGGGCGGGACACGUGACAUCCUGUCUGAAUAUGGGGGGACCAUCCUCCAAGGCUAAAUACUCCUGACUGACCGAUAGUGAACCAGUACCGUGAGGGAAAGGCGAAAAGAACCCCGGCGAGGGGAGUGAAAUAGAACCUGAAACCGUGUACGUACAAGCAGUGGGAGCACCUUCGUGGUGUGACUGCGUACCUUUUGUAUAAUGGGUCAGCGACUUAUAUUUUGUAGCAAGGUUAACCGAAUAGGGGAGCCGUAGGGAAACCGAGUCUUAACUGGGCGUCUAGUUGCAAGGUAUAGACCCGAAACCCGGUGAUCUAGCCAUGGGCAGGUUGAAGGUUGGGUAACACUAACUGGAGGACCGAACCGACUAAUGUUGAAAAAUUAGCGGAUGACUUGUGGCUGGGGGUGAAAGGCCAAUCAAACCGGGAGAUAGCUGGUUCUCCCCGAAAGCUAUUUAGGUAGCGCCUCGUGAACUCAUCUUCGGGGGUAGAGCACUGUUUCGGCUAGGGGGCCAUCCCGGCUUACCAAACCGAUGCAAACUCCGAAUACCGAAGAAUGUUAUCACGGGAGACACACGGCGGGUGCUAACGUCCGUCGUGAAGAGGGAAACAACCCAGACCGCCAGCUAAGGUCCCAAAGUCAUGGUUAAGUGGGAAACGAUGUGGGAAGGCACAGACAGCCAGGAUGUUGGCUUAGAAGCAGCCAUCAUUUAAAGAAAGCGUAAUAGCUCACUGGUCGAGUCGGCCUGCGCGGAAGAUAUAACGGGGCUAAACCAUGCACCGAAGCUGCGGCAGCGACGUUUAGGCGUUGUUGGGUAGGGGAGCGUUCUGUAAGCCGUUGAAGGUGACCUGUGAGGGUUGCUGGAGGUAUCAGAAGUGCGAAUGCUGACAUAAGUAACGAUAAUGCGGGUGAAAAACCCGCACGCCGGAAGACCAAGGGUUCCUGUCCAACGUUAAUCGGGGCAGGGUGAGUCGACCCCUAAGGCGAGGCUGAAAAGCGUAGUCGAUGGGAAACAGGUUAAUAUUCCUGUACUUGGUGUUACUGCGAAGGGGGGACGGAGAAGGCUAGGCUGGCCGGGCGACGGUUGUCCCGGUUUAAGCGUGUAGGGGGAGUGACCAGGUAAAUCCGGUUGCUUAUCAACCCUGAGGCGUGAUGACGAUGCACCACGGUGCAGAAGCAGUUGAUGCCAUGCUUCCAGGAAAAGCCUCUAAGCAUCAGGUAACAUUAAAUCGUACCCCAAACCGACACAGGUGGUCAGGUAGAGAAUACUCAGGCGCUUGAGAGAACUCGGGUGAAGGAACUAGGCAAAAUGGUGCCGUAACUUCGGGAGAAGGCACGCUGGCGUUAGGUGAAAGGACUAGCUCCUGGAGCUGAAGCCAGUCGCAGAUACCAGCUGGCUGCAACUGUUUAAUAAAAACACAGCACUGUGCAAACACGAAAGUGGACGUAUACGGUGUGACGCCUGCCCGGUGCUGGAAGGUUAAUUGAUGGGGUCAGCCGCAAGGCGAAGCUCUUGAUCGAAGCCCCAGUAAACGGCGGCCGUAACUAUAACGGUCCUAAGGUAGCGAAAUUCCUUGUCGGGUAAGUUCCGACCUGCACGAAUGGCGUAAUGAUGGCCAGGCUGUCUCCACCCGAGACUCAGUGAAAUUGAACUCGCUGUGAAGAUGCAGUGUACCCGCGGCAAGACGGAAAGACCCCGUGAACCUUUACUAUAGCUUGACACUGAACAUUGAGCCUUGAUGUGUAGGAUAGGUGGGAGGCCUUGAAGUGUGGACGCCAGUCUGCAUGGAGCCAACCUUGAAAUACCACCCUUUAAUGUUUGAUGUUCUAACUCGGCCCCAUGAUCUGGGGUGAGGACAGUGUCUGGUGGGUAGUUUGACUGGGGCGGUCUCCUCCCAAAGAGUAACGGAGGAGCACGAAGGUUAGCUAAUCACGGUCGGACAUCGUGAGGUUAGUGCAAAGGCAUAAGCUAGCUUGACUGCGAGAGUGACGGCUCGAGCAGGUACGAAAGUAGGUCUUAGUGAUCCGGUGGUUCUGAAUGGAAGGGCCAUCGCUCAACGGAUAAAAGGUACUCCGGGGAUAACAGGCUGAUACCGCCCAAGAGUUCAUAUCGACGGCGGUGUUUGGCACCUCGAUGUCGGCUCAUCACAUCCUGGGGCUGAAGUAGGUCCCAAGGGUAUGGCUGUUCGCCAUUUAAAGUGGUACGCGAGCUGGGUUUAGAACGUCGUGAGACAGUUCGGUCCCUAUCUGCCGUGGGCGUUGGAAGAUUGAGAGGGGCUGCUCCUAGUACGAGAGGACCGGAGUGGACGAAUCACUGGUGUUCGGGUUGUCAUGCCAAUGGCAUUGCCCGGUAGCUAAAUUCGGAAGAGAUAACCGCUGAAAGCAUCUAAGCGGGAAACUUGCCUCGAGAUGAGUCUUCCCUGGGGCUUAAAGCCCCCUGAAGGAACGUUAAAGACUAUGACGUUGAUAGGCUGGGUGUGUAAGUGCAGCGAUGUAUUGAGCUAACCAGUACUAAUGAUCCGUGAGGCUUAACCUU
Molecule: ribosomal RNA, 2905 nt
Filed under: Yersinia pestis Pestoides F
Lineage: Bacteria; Pseudomonadati; Pseudomonadota; Gammaproteobacteria; Enterobacterales; Yersiniaceae
Description: bacterial LSU rRNA
Rfam family: Bacterial large subunit ribosomal RNA
Source: RNAcentral